CCAUAUUCUAGCAACUUCCUAACUUAUUAAAUCAAAUUUUUAUUGUAAAUUCUAAAUUAAUUAAUAUCAUGAAAAUCAUGUAUAUUUCUAUAUUGGCAACAACCCUUGUUGACAGAUGAUUCUCAUUGGAUACAGAACUGUCAUCCAUAUCGAUUCAGUUGCUAGAUCAAUUAAAGUCCUUGCCAUGCGCAAAAACUUAUAUUUGAGACAAACCUAAAAACGUCGUUAUACUAAAAAUGUGCAAUGUCACAAUACCCCUCUCCCUGCUGUAGCGUUUUACCAAGGGUAAAACGCUCGCUGUCCUCAGCGACUAAUACCUAACCAUGUGUCACAAAAGCAAGGAAAACAAAACAACACACCUCGACCAUACAGAGUAUGGGAGAAACACAUAACAAAAAAGAACAUCGAUUGCUGUAGGUAUCGAGAUCCGUUCCCAAAAAAAAAACCAAUCCACAAAACCAAAUAAGUAAACGUCCUAAAAGUGAAUCUCGAACCCACGCAACACCACAAAAUAAAAAACCUAGUGUGGUUCCCGAACCAUCAAAAAAUAACCCACACUACAAAACCAACCAAACAGAAAAACAUUCUUUUGGCUUUACCAACACAACUUUUCAGUUGCGUUGGAAAAACCAAAACCAACAGCCAGGACCGAUGUUCAGCACACCCAAACAUUCUCCGCUAGACCGGGCAAAAUAAAAAUCCAAAAAUGAUUCCUACUUCCAAGUUUACUAUCAUAAACUUGAGAAGCUCAUAAUUUAAUUUAAAAUAAAAUUCCAAUCCGAGAAUAUAAAUCCAUAAACCAAAAUAACCGUGACAGUUUACUAACAAAAUGCAAAAUCCAUCAACACACGGUUGAAUUGGCAACAUUGUGCUGUUCCAAUUCUUCCAUAAAGGAAACAAAAAAACCACCACAAACUGUCACGCACCUUCGAGUUGGUGAGAUAAAAGACUCCCACCCAACUCUCCGGAUCACAAAAUCCUACACAACUCUGAGGUUGCAACAUGCCCGAGACCUCGACCGUUUGGUUGAGACUCACCAAAAAAUAUGUAUCGCACGCCAGGCAUGAUUGGCGGCGAUACCCCAAAAACCCGUGCGCCACCCCACCGCCUCCAUGGCAUGGGAAAAGCAGCACGGAACACAAAAUGUACCCACCAGCGAGUACCCGAUCGACACCACAAAAGGCAAGAACCCGGUACGGAGCGCAUCCAAAAGGGGAUGCAAGAAGUAGGCAGUGCUACCGCGCCCUGCCAUACCUCACCACUCCUGGGUAUGGACCUCAUGUCGACCCCAAAUCGCGCCACUACGACGCUCGGGUGUGGUAAGCACCCGCAAAAAAAACUCAAUUCGAAAAAACAGGUCGUAUCAAGGAUCGCUCAAACGUAAAAUGAACCAGAUUGUGUCGCCCCUUUCAUACUUCACGCAUUUCAGAGAACUGUUCCAGGAACCCUUUCAUCCCUCACACAAAACAAAAUAGUAGUGAAAACAGACUUUGCUGUUCACCACGUUCCAUACAUAAAGUCGUGAUUGAAUAUUUUCACCACAAUAUUCAACACUUCAAACGAAACAACCAAAGAGUGACACGAUAUGGCGUAAGCGAGGGCGUUAACUCUGGCGGCAAGGUGAAAGCAAAAAAAAAUAACCCGGACCUUGCGUCCAGAGAGAACCUCUACCUCCUAACUUACCCAAAACAAUCUCUAAAUCCUUGUAUACGCCACAAAACCAAAUCCAAGUUUUCACAAAAAACAAACGCCCUUAAAUGAAACCGCACGUUGCGAGACAUUUAAAUUUAAAACUGGCGCUAAAACCACGUCGUAACCUUAAAUAAAUCUAAACAUAAAACCGAGCGUUUAUUUAACCGCUCAAGUUACGACAAACUUGGAUCAAAAAACACGCAUCCGAACGUACCCCUCGUUGAACUUAUCUUGUCUGUGGUCUGUGCCUUUAAAAAAAAACUAAAUGUCAACAAAUAUUUAUCGUUACCUACAAAAUUACUAAUAUCUGCCGUUUUUACUGCUACAAAUUAAUAAAACAACACUUAAUUCAACUACAAAAUCAUGGAAAACUAACAUGAGUGUGAUAAACGUUCGAUAAUCUAAAGGAAUGACUAAAAUUUAUUCAGGAAUGCUAACUGGAAUGCAAAGAAUUCUACUACUAACAGCAGAUUACUAGAAACUGUACUAAAUCUUAAGAAUCAUACCACAAAAGCAACUAGGCACCUAGCAACAGCUACAACUAGACCACAGACUACAAAAGAAAACCAAAACAUGAACAUCAGAGGAACUCGGGCACUGAUAAUGUGCUGAAAACAACUCCCAACGGAAACCUUCCAUUUGCAUGGAGAACAACACAAACCACUUCGCCGGCAACCAACAACAAUGCAGCUGCCGGACACUCAAAACUCAAGCCGUUCCAGCACUUCAACCAUUACCGGUGUCGUCCCUGACUGAAUUCACCUGUAUAAGUUCAACAGGCACAAAAGUGAAAUUGCCACUGUAUAAUAAGUUUAACUCAAAAGGAACUCAAAUAUGAUGGCACCGACUUACAACUUGAAGUGAUACUGUUGUGUUAUAAUUUAUAUUAAACAAUGUUGAAUUGA
This is a long non-coding RNA of Leguminivora glycinivorella, 2597 nucleotides long. RefSeq lists it as uncharacterized. The transcript is spliced from 2 exons. Lineage: Eukaryota; Metazoa; Arthropoda; Insecta; Lepidoptera; Tortricidae. The record is from RefSeq and is a predicted model, not a curated record.